ACGUCGUCGUUUCCAGUAGGUAAGCAUUUGCUCAAGCUCGUCUUCGCGACCGCCACUGCAACCUCCGACAACAGCGAGCUUCUUCAGAAGCCGCCAUUGACGAUGGCUCUGCUCAAGCGAAGCCCACGCCUCCGCCUCGCUCUCUUUCGCCUCUCGCCUCUCUCUAGCACUUCUCUCUCUUACUCCACCGCUCACCUUCAAGAACAAGAUGAAGGAGAAGAAGAAGGGCAUGGAAGUCGCGAGCCUCCCGUGCUCGCCCCCUCUCCUUCUCUUUCCCCUGAAGAAACCCUGGUCGCCGACAAGAUCCACGCCCUGAUCAAAGACCACCACCGCAGAAACCCCAGCCCUGGCCUCGCCCCGCCGGACCCUCGCCUCACCAUCCCCGCUCUCUCCCUCGAUUUCUCCCGAGUCUCUCCCGCCCGCUCCCUCUCCUCCUCCGUCGUCCGCCGCGUGGUCGAGAAAUGCGGGGACCUCCGCCACGGCAUCCCCUUCCUCCAAGCGCUCGCUUUCUUCAACUGGGCCGCGUCGCAGGCGGAGCUUGCAUCCCCUGCUCCUUACAACGAGAUGAUCGACCUCGCCGGAAAGGUCCGGCAGUUCGACGUGGCGUGGCACCUGAUCGACACCAUGAAGUCACGAGGUAUUGUGAUUAAGAUUGAGACUUUCGCGAUUUUAAUUCGUCGUUAUGUUAGGGCGGGAUUGGCUGCCGAGGCUGUCCACGCCUUUAAUCGUAUGGAGGAGUAUGAUUGCCAGCCUGAUAAGGUCGCCUUCUCGAUUGUUAUCAAUAUGUUAAGUAAGAAGAGGAGGGCGGUCGAAGCUCAAUCUUUUUUUGACGGUCUGAAGGAUAGAUUUGAGCCUGAUGUGGUUGUGUACACUAGCUUGAUUCACGGGUGGUGCCGAGCCGGUAAUAUCUCUGAGGCGGAGAGGGUGUUUGGGGACAUGAAACUGGCUGGGAUAAAGCCCAAUGUGUAUACUUAUAGCAUUGUGAUUGAUGCGCUGUGUAGGUGCGGGCAAAUUACGCGUGCCCAUGAUGUUUUUGCAGAGAUGAUUGAUGUUGGGUGCAAACCGAAUUCGAUAACCUUUAACAAUUUGAUGCGAGUUCACGUGAAAGCCAGCAGGACCGAGAAGGUUCUGCAGGUGUAUAAUCAGAUGAAGAGGCUCGGGUGUCCGGCGGAUACAAUUACAUACAAUUUUCUCAUCGAAACUCAUUGUAAAGAUGAAAGUCACGAGGAAGCCAUGAAGGUGCUUAAUUCGAUGGUUAAGAAAGGCUGCAGCCCCAAUGCAUCCACUUUCAAUCCGAUAUUUAGAUGCAUUGCGAAAUUGAGAGAUGUAAACGGGGCUCACAGGUUGUAUGCUAGGAUGAAAGACUUGAAAUGUAUGCCUAAUACAGUGACGUACAAUAUACUGAUGCGGAUGUUUGCCGACUCAAAGUCAACUGACAUGGUUAUCAAGUUGAAGAAGGAAAUGGACGAGAACAACGUCGAGCCCAAUGUGAACACAUACCGGAUUUUGAUCUUGAUGUACUGUGGGAUGGGGCAUUGGAACAAUGCCUACAAGUACUUUCUAGAAAUGAUUGAAGCUAAGUGCUUGAAACCAGGUUUGCCUGUCUAUCAGAUGGUUCUAGAGCAGCUCAGGAAGGCAGGGCAGCUGAAGAAGCAUGAGGAGUUAGUGGAGAAAAUGGUGGAUAGGGGAUUUGUUACUCGACCUUUGUAGGUUUGUGCUCAUCUGCAUAUGCAGGUCAAGUAAGUUGCGUAAUAUCCUAGCAUUAGUUUCCAAACAAUCUUUUUUGUUUUUUCAUCAUCUUGAAAUGCAUAAGAUUAGCAUUUGAUAUUUCUUCGGGGCAACAAUACAUUGUCAUCUUCGUACUGUAGGUUUUGCUGUUAUUUCUUCAAUGUGGAAGUAUGCUUUGUUGCCUUGUUUGUAUCUCAAAAGCAAAUUCUGAUAAAUUGAUGGAUAUAUAUGGAGCUAAUGCGCUCCGGCAUUCUCAGGAUAUCGAUUCUGCUUGAAUAUGCACCUUAGGAUGAAUUACUCAAACUGCAGAAAAAUAGAGUACUAGUUGAAGCACAUCUCCCAAUCAAGUGCGAUCUUCUACCUUGUGAUGCUUGGCAUAUGUGAUAUGUGCCUGUCUUUGUUGAAUUUCAUCUUCCUCCUCUUUGGUUUGUAACCAAGUUAUUCCAUUAUAAGACCUCUGUAAAAUGAAGCCAGGGAAUGCACGCAUUUUUUUUCCCCU
Molecule: RNA transcript, 2227 nt
Organism: Rhodamnia argentea
Lineage: Eukaryota; Viridiplantae; Streptophyta; Magnoliopsida; Myrtales; Myrtaceae
Gene name: pentatricopeptide repeat-containing protein At1g20300, mitochondrial
Exons: 2
Source: RefSeq, a predicted model, not a curated record